This 20-nucleotide non-coding RNA is filed under the name Rattus norvegicus (Norway rat). The record is from RNAcentral. Lineage: Eukaryota; Metazoa; Chordata; Mammalia; Rodentia; Muridae.
CUCUCAAGUCCCUAGAUGGC